UGUGCAGCAGCUGCCGCUGUGUGCGCGACGUGCAUGUUGUGGUUAAAGCCUCUGAUUGGUCAGCCUGCAGCUUCAGUUGCUGCAGUGUAUCUGCAAGGAUCAUGAAUGCAGCUUCAUUAAUUUCUGUGCUGAUAUCAUUCCAAUUUAUUCAGGUAUGCCCUCAAUCUGAUCUAACAAAGCACAGGAAUUGUCAUUUAAAUGCGCAGUUUUAAAUGGGUGGCCGGGGUAGCCAGUGCCACCCCUACAAUCUGACUGGCCACCACAGAUGCCACGCCAAAAUGUCUGCCGCCUCACCGGCUCCCACCUUGCUGUGGGGCGGGUGUUUGGCUCUGUCUGUCACUGUCUCAUUUGAUGGGAAUCAUUUCAUUGACAACCAGUACGAGGAAAUUCAACCUAAGGGGCCCAUCUCAUCGGCGUUUCUGUGAGCAGCGUCACAUCCAGGUGAUUACUGUUUGCGUUUACUAACGUUACGCAAAAUAGAGUGAAAUAGAGGAAUUAUCCGUCCGGGAGUGAAGAAAGAGAAAGAAGAGAAAAGAAAGCAGGACAGUGGAACAUUGGUGAAGUUCCUAUCAACAAAAACAGGGAACCAGUCCCCCUCCAGGUCCUGAUCCUGAUGAAUGUCCAUCAACUUCCACCAUCUCCAGCACUUUAGCAACAGCAACACCACCAUCCAUAACUAAAUCAGAACCACUCUACAGGAAAAUAGGUGACAUAGCUGAUCUCACACCAGCCUCUGUGGUGAAUCCCAUCAAGAGCAUAGUGUAGAAACAUGGAGCUAAUGUUGCUGUGGGGUGGUACAGAGGCGGGACUUUCUCCUACCAACACUUCAAAGAUCGUUGUAUACUGAACACUUUAACUGGAGCGCUGACGAUCACAGGACUGACUCCAGACGACAGCGGCAGCUACACAGUAGAGAUCAACAACAAAGUCACCAGCAAGACUCAACUCCUGGUUAUCUUGGCAACAUCACAGACGCUGAACCAGUCACCUACUUUUAAAGUGCGAUAUUAACACGACUACUAAAAAAGAAGAUAACUGAGACUUUCUUCAACUUGCUUCAUGCUGUAUUCACUUGGCACAACUAUAAAUCCUCCUGAAGUAGAGGUCAACAACAAGUCCAGAUGUCCCUGAAACAUCCACCCAGGACCUGGAAACUGCUGAGUCAGUAGAUCCCAGCAAUGAAACUGAAACCAACGAUCAGAGGAAGCCUUGCAGGAAUUACAAUGAAGGUGGCUGUUGGAAAGGUGACAGUUGCCACUACAGACAUGUUUGCGAGUUC
Molecule: long non-coding RNA, 1279 nt
Organism: Thunnus maccoyii (southern bluefin tuna)
Lineage: Eukaryota; Metazoa; Chordata; Actinopteri; Scombriformes; Scombridae
Exons: 9
Source: RefSeq, a predicted model, not a curated record